AUCCCGUUAUACGCGACAUCGAACAGAUCGACCUUCACCUGGAAGUUACGAAGUGACAGGCAAUACACAAAAGUCUAGAAAAAAGAGGGACAAGGAAAAAGAUGUCUUAUUUUCGUUUCCCCUGCCCUUUAGGGGAAUCGGAUAUGUUAGACUACCACAAGGAUGUAAGUCGUAAAUGAAUUUACAAAGUUUAUUCAUGUGAUUAUCCAUAUAAGGUCAUCUGGCAUCGGUCUCCUCUUUCAGACUUUCAUGUCUUUCCCGGUUGUUUCAAAGGUUCGCGAAAAUCAUCCUAUUUAGUCAUAAUUUAAGAAACUUAUAUCAUAGGUUUACAUCAGCAAUGUCUGACUCUUGAAAAUAAGUGCUGCUCAAAUAUCCAACGAGUUACAUGUAAUAUCAGGUCUGUUCGUGCCCAUAUUUACACUUUUGCAUCCUCCACGUUCACACCUCGCACUUUGUCCCUUGAGGUCCGUUUGCACCUAUCUAUCUAUCUUCCCGUCAAGGAGUGGACUCAUUUUUAUAUCAAUUCAUACACAGCGUGAGUGAACGACUAAAAACCUUCAAGUAUUUACAGUUAAAAAGAGAUCUGUAUGUACAAUUAAAAAUGGUGCUGUAAUUUAGAUGUAGAGUAGUGUCGACACACUGACAUUUGGAAUGGCGUGUCGAAAAUGUUCCACAGACGGGGAAGCUCGAAUAUCUGGAGGUACAUUGUAUUGUCCAGGAUAUGAUGGUGGCUGGUAUGAAGCCAUUGAAGGAAUAUUUGAAAUAUAUAGCACCCUACACAUUCGACCCAAUUUUAGAUUGAAUUCCAGUUGAAUUAUUAGAAAAUAAUGAUUGUUGUGUAAACUUGCUUUGAUGUAAAUAUAGCUUGGUAUGAGCAACACAUUGAAGAUUUUAAAAGAAAAAGAUGAAAGUUAAUAGUUCUUAACAGCUUGGUCCCUACAUCUCACUUUAUUUUGAAACAAUGAAAAAAAUGUAUAGCAAUACACCAUGAACACUAAUCAAUUAAAGAAUGGACCCAGAUUUUGAAAUUUAUCAAUAACAAGAAUGUGUCCUCAGUACACGAAUGCCCCACUCGCACUAUCAUUUUCUAUGUUCAGUGGACCGUGAAAUUGGGGUAAAAUCUCUAAUUUGGCAUUAAAAUUAGAAAGAUCAUAUCAUAGGGAACAUGUGUACCAAGUUUGAAGUCGAUUGGACUUCAACUUCAUCAAAAACUACCUUGACCAAAAACUUUAACCUGAAGCGGGACAGACGGACGAACGAACGAACGGACGCACAGACCAGAAAACAUAAUGCCCCUCUACUAUCGUAGGUGGGGCAUAACAACAUCAGAAAUCACAUCCUAGACCUUAUGAUAUCGAGUCUGUUCAUGCCCAGUACACUUUCGCACCUAAUUUUAAAUGGAAUUCCAGUUGAAUUAUCAGAAAAUCAUGAUUGUUGUUUUAACUUGCUUUGAUGUCAAUACUGCAUAUGUUUAGCUUGAUAUGAGUAAAACAUUGAAGAUUUCAAAUGAAAAACACAAAAUUUAAUUUUUUUUAAAGGGGCACUAGCAACGACAUAUUAUGCUUGGUAUGAGUAAAACAUUGAAGAUUUCAAAUGAAAAACACAAAAUUUAAUUGUUUUUAAAGGGGCACUAGCAACGACAUAUCAUGCUUGGUAUGAGUAAAACAUCGAAGAUUUCAAAUGAAAAACACAAAAUUUAAUUGUUUUUAAAGGGGCACUAGCAACGACAUAUUAUGCUUAGAAAGAUUGAUGAUGAAUAAUUGACUUACAACGCAAGAAAAAAACAUUGUUAAAUCUCACUGUAGUUAGAAACAAUGUUUUUUUUAUUUAUAUAGCAUUUACAUGUACACUAUCCAAAACAUAAUUAAAAUUUAUUCAACACACAAAAAAACGUAGACUUAGAAUCUUGAUUUAUUUUGAGACAAUGACAAAAAAAAUAUUUAUAGCCCUUCACCUACCAAAACCAGAUUACAAAAUUAUUGAACACAAAACCGACGAACGAACGAACGGACGCACAGACCAGAAAACAUAAUGCCCCUCUACUAUCGUAGGUGGGGCAUAACAACAUCAGAAAUCACAUCCUAGACCUUAUGAUAUCGAGUCUGUUCAUGCCCAGUACACUUUCGCACCUAAUUUUAAAUGGAAUUCCAGUUGAAUUAUCAGAAAAUCAUGAUUGUUGUUUUAACUUGCUUUGAUGUCAAUUGCAUAUUAGCUUUAUUAUGUUGAUAAAACAUUGAAGAUUUCAAAUGAAAAAACACAAAAAUUAAUUUUUUUUAAAGGGCACUAGCAACGACAUAUUAUGCUUGUAUGAGUAAAACAUUGAAGAUUUCAAAUGAAAAACACAAAAUUUAAUUUUUUUAAAGGGCAUGCAACGACAUAUCAUGCUUGGUAUGAGUAAAACAUUGAAGAUUUCAAAUGAAAAACACAAAAUUUAAUUGUUUUUAAAGGGGCACUAGCAACGACAUAUUAUGCUUAGAAAGAUUGAUGAUGAAUAAUUGACUUACAACGCAAGAAAAAAACAUUGUUAAAUCUCACUGUAGUUAGAAACAAUGUUUUUUUUAUUUAUAUAGCAUUUACAUGUACACUAUCCAAAACAUAAUUAAAAUUUAUUCAACACACAAAAAAACGUAGACUUUAGAAUCUUGAUUUAUUUUGAGACAAUGACAAAAAAAAAUUUUAUAGCCCUUCACCUACCAAAACCAGAUUACAAAAUUAUUGAACACAAAACCAAUGAAAAGGUGUAUGUAUUUUUACUUUAUAACAGUAUCACGGCUGCCACCAAAAAAUACCAUAGAUCUGAUGAAUAAACAUUUGCUUAACUGAUACCUUGAUUUUGAUGAUUAUUAUUUUCAACAGGAUCAUGAUGCUUUAACAGAAAGAUUUAGAAAGACUUUGUAUUACGGAAAGAUGCCCAACACAGAAAGACCCUCGUUACCUCUAACAGGUA
Molecule: long non-coding RNA, 2947 nt
Filed under: Mytilus galloprovincialis (Mediterranean mussel)
Lineage: Eukaryota; Metazoa; Mollusca; Bivalvia; Mytilida; Mytilidae
Source: RNAcentral